This 92-nucleotide small nucleolar RNA is filed under the name Neogobius melanostomus (round goby). RNAcentral's name for it is "Small nucleolar SNORD12/SNORD106 (ENSNMLG00000020359.1)". It matches the Rfam family "Small nucleolar SNORD12/SNORD106". From Rfam's summary of the family: This family belong to the C/D class of snoRNA which contain the C (UGAUGA) and D (CUGA) box motifs. The record is from Rfam by way of RNAcentral. Lineage: Eukaryota; Metazoa; Chordata; Actinopteri; Gobiiformes; Gobiidae.
AGUAUGUUUUAUGAUGCACAACUUUUUUCCCCGUCAUAUCGACCAUGGUGACUAGUCAAUGAAACUAAGCCAGUUUUGUCUGAAAUCAUACU